GGCUCAGGAUGGACGCUAGCGGCAGGCUUAAUACAUGCAAGUCGUGGGGCAGCGUGAGUAGCAAUACUUGAUGGCGACCGGCAAACGGGUGAGGAACACGUACACAACCUUCCUUCAAGCGGGGAAUAGCCCAGAGAAAUUUGGAUUAAUACCCCAUAAUAUAUUUGAUAAGGCAUCUUAUUAAUAUUAAAGCUUCGGCACUUGAUGAUGGGUGUGCGGCUGAUUAGAUAGUUGGCGGGGUAACGGCCCACCAAGUCUACGAUCAGUAGCUGAUGUGAGGGCAUGAUCAGCCACACGGGCACUGAGACACGGGCCCGACUCCUACGGGAGGCAGCAGUAAGGAAUAUUGGACAAUGGACGAAAGUCUGAUCCAGCCAUGCCGCGUGAAGGAUUAAGGUCCUCUGGAUUGUAAACUUCUUUUAUAUGGGACGAAAAAAGGGCAUUCUUGUUCACUUGACGGUACCAUAUGAAUAAGCACCGGCUAACUCCGUG
RNAcentral lists this ribosomal RNA (492 nucleotides) under uncultured bacterium. Its description in RNAcentral is "bacterial SSU rRNA". It matches the Rfam family "Bacterial small subunit ribosomal RNA", at positions 21 to 507 of the family's 1533-position model. The record is from RNAcentral.